RNAcentral lists this long non-coding RNA (2621 nucleotides) under Capra hircus (goat). RNAcentral's name for it is "lncRNA (ENSCHIG00010005100.1)". Lineage: Eukaryota; Metazoa; Chordata; Mammalia; Artiodactyla; Bovidae. The record is from RNAcentral.
AGUUAGCCACUUGGGCUGGGAGUAAAAAUGGGACAAAGAGAAAACAAGAAGAAGAGAGAACCCUUGAUCCAGUCUGAUGUUUUUGUCUUCCAAGUGGAGAAGUUGAGACACAGGAUUUCCCGCCCCCCAUCCCCCAAAGCGUCCCAGCUUUCUCCAUCAAGACAGGACAAGAACCUUCAGCUUCUGGUUCCUUUUGGGGGCUUCCCUCACAGUGCAAACCCUGUUAACCCCUACACCCACCUCCUCACAGCCCCAAACAUUCGAUGCUCCCCAAAGCCUGGGGUUUGAAACUAUGGUGCAAUUCCCUGAUCCCUUGACNNNNNNNNNNNNNNNNNNNNNNNNNNNNNNNNNNNNNNNNNNNNNNNNNNNNNNNNNNNNNNNNNNNNNNNNNNNNNNNNNNNNNNNNNNNNNNNNNNNUUGAAACUAUGGUGCAAUUCCCUGAUCCCUUGACUGUCCUGACUCUUUCUCAAGAUCACUUGACAACCGCCUUCCUUGUAAUCUAUUUGUCCUCUCCCACCUGGCCCAGAAAAUCAAUAGCAAUGAUAGUAACAGUAAUGGCAUCCAUCAUUGAGGACAUACUCACAUCGUCCACGAAGAGGCAUUGUUACCCCCAUUUUACAGAUGAGGAAAAUGAGGCUCAGAGAAGUUAAGCGAUUUGUUUAAGGCCACACAGCCUUAGACAAAGAUCUAAGGCUGCUUCUGAUAAGUUUGAUUAUAAGGUGGUUGCAGCUGGGGCUGGUGAUUAAGGAGGUGGCCAAGAUGUCACCCAGAUCUGAGGGACACAGAGGACUUAAUGCUGCUGUUCCUGGGGUGGGUAGAGGCCCUGCAGCUGUAGCUGGUGGUGUCUGAGCGUGGCGACCACCCUGGGUGUUGCCCAGGCUCACAGGGCACUGAUUUCUGAUCUGAUCUGUGCCCGCCCAAGGAAAGCAGGGGUGCACCCCUAUCUCAUCUCUGUGGUUAGCUCGUCUGUGUUCCAUGAACAACUUCAGCCCCAAGCAUAAGCGGAGAGAUGCCAUGCAGCUCAGUUCCGGGUACAGCCACCCCCGGGGGAGGGGGUCGGGGUCUGGAAAGCCAAUGCCUUUUAUCCUUUUAUUUCUUUAAUGAUGGAGGAGGAAAAGGAUGGGGAGUGGUUACAAAUGUAUUCGUUUCUUGCUCCUUUGCAAAAUCCAUUUAAUUGUUGAUCCACUUCUAGACGCUUAAAUAACCUAUUUAUUCCCUCAUGUGCGGCAACUGUCUGCACUACACUGAACUUCCAGGAGCAGCUAGGGUUACGACAGCGACAGAAGCCCUCCUUCUGGUGAGUGGACAGAUGAGCAGGCAGGUGACCUCGGGGACUUAAUGAAGAGAAUGAGUUCAGGUUACUAAGGCAGCGGUCACCAGCCUGUUCGGGACCAGGGACCAGUUUCAUGGAAGACAAUUUGCCCACAGACUGGGGGUUGGGGGGGAUGGUUUCGGGAUGAUUCAAGCGCGUUACAUUUGCUGUGAACUUUAUUUGGAAUCUAAUGCCAAGGCUGAUCUGAUGGGAGCGGCAGAGGAUGAGACGGUUGGAUGGCAUCACUAAUGCAAUGGACUUGAGUUUGAGCAAGCUCCGGAAGGUAGUGAAGGACAGGGAAGCCUGGCGCGCUGCAGUCCCUGGGAUCACAAAGAGUCCAACACGACUGAGCGACUCAACAACAACUGAUCGACAGCCGGGAGGUUGGGGACCCCUGUGCUAAGGGGCCAGGUGAGGAGGUGCUGGUCCCCAGUCUGGACUAACCAGGGAGGUUUCCCAGAGAUGAAAGCUGAGGAUGCAGAAGGAACCUUUCCUCUACGCUCUGGGUUCAUCCGGCUGCCCUGAGAUUUAAAUUUACAUGAGACACAUUAAUAGGAGAAAAUAAACUUUUUAAUCCUUACAGACAGGAAUCCCACAUACACGAGAGCGUCAGAGACCAAGAGGGAAAAUGAGGUCUAUGUGCCGUCCUGAGCUGAGAGUUGAGGUCGGGGCCUGGGGCUUUCCAAGAAUGGGAGCGUCCCUCCCAGGAUGAUAAGAAGAGCAGACGGUGGGCAGAUGUUUGCCCUGACACACAGAUGGGGGGGCCACUUUGGUGACAUUUAUCGCUGGUACUAACUCUUUCCUGGGAAAAAGCCCCAAUUUCAACUCUUCUGGGUAGUAAGGUAGUUUCUUGUGAACCCCCAGGGUCUCAGUUGCCUUUAGCUCAAAAUAAUCCUCAUGCAAAAGUGACACAUUUGGGAGAGGUGCAUUCUGAACCCCCGUAUUAUGCACAGCAUCUGUGUAAAAUGUUAAAGACAAGAGUAAAGCAGGCACCCUGUAUGCUCCCUGCCCUCUCCCCAUGUGUCCACUUGGGGUGAAAGCUGCUUGGUAACUGAUUACUAAGGACAGGACCCGUGGGAGGUGCUACUAUUCCAUACCCAUCUGUCACAGCUCCUAUUGGCUCAUCUUCCCACCUCACCCAAAGCCUUCUUCCUACAAGGAUUCACUGAGCCUCUACUUGGCACCCUGUGCUAGCCACAGGGGUGCGGAGGCAGCAUGGUCCAUGACAUCCCCAUGCCUACAGGAGGCCGUAGUCUGAGUGGUGACUGCAGCCACGAAAUUAAAAGACACUUGCUCCUUGGAAGAAAAA